This 8186-nucleotide long non-coding RNA is filed under the name Lactuca sativa (garden lettuce). RNAcentral describes it as "long non-coding RNA (LSAT_LNC002839)". The record is from RNAcentral. Lineage: Eukaryota; Viridiplantae; Streptophyta; Magnoliopsida; Asterales; Asteraceae.
UAUACUGGAUUGACUAUCCUACACCUUGCUGCUAGCUACAGCGGGACCUGCAGGUCUGCGGGUGCCAAACGUCAUUCCGUUAUUAUGACCAUUCUUAUGUCGUUGUUACCAGUCAAUAGUAUGGUACAAUUAAUCACAUGAUGCCUUAAUAUAAAUCCGGUUUAAGGUAAUUAGUGCAACAGUAGUUCUUAUAGCACUACGUUUUAGUACUACAUUAAUUUUCCCUGUACACAUAUUUAGUGAUCCUUUCACUUAAACUAUAAAUGUAAAAACUAUAUUUUGUUAAUAAUAGUUACACUUGGGAAAAUUACACACUUUUACAUGACACGAACAUUUAGAACAGUUAAGUCUUGGUAGAAGACUACAUUGAGAACAGUUAGGUCUUGGUAGAAGACACCCUUAUAUAAUAGUAGGAAUCAUAGGGAUUUCUAGAGUUUUUCAAACGUUUACAGUUGUUUUACAAACAUUUUCAUACUUACAGUUCAUAUACAUUUUCAAUACUUACAAUUCAUUUACUUACAAAUUCUUACAUACAAAUUAAGACACUAAAUACUUAUGAUCUCACCAGCUUCAAAGCUGAUACUCGCUUUCAAAAUUACUUGUAUCCUCAGGUCAUCAUAGACAGGUACCGAUGCAAGGAGAAAGGAAGAUGGAGCUUGUUCAAGACUCAUCUUUCAUUUUGAUUUAUGCUUUAGUGUUUAUCAAAAUUUGACAGAACACACUUGUAUAAUAAUUAUAUUAUUAAUGCAAUGGAUGAUGUUGUUGCUUGUUUACUACUUUUCAUUGUUGUGAUACUGUACAUGACGUCCUCCGCCCCAGAACGUUUCCGCCGUUCUUGGUUUUGGGGUGUGACAGAUUGGUAUCAGAGCAUUGUUUAUAGUGAAUUAAGUAUAUCAACCCAUAAAAGAUAUACUAACUAUAAAUACAUAAGGGAUUAAAAAUACUCUGACCAAGAGUUUAUACUUUAAAUAAUAAAAUAUUUAAGUAAGUAUACGUGCCUGCAUUCAUACUAAAAUCAGUGUCACUAGGACAGUACAAAAGAAUUACGAUUGUUGGGCAACACAAGUGGGCUUAGAGACAUAUGGUCAAAACUGGGAAGAUAUAGCCUGAUCACCUAUAUUAUCCGAGGGUUGACUAGCAUGUGCCUAAGUUUAAUUGUGUGGUUGCAACAAUGCUAAAAUCUUACCAACCCUACCACAAUGAGAACAAUAGAACAUAACAUUAAAUUUAAAAUACUAUAGGAGUAUUUGGUGUUACUAUAAGUACUUUAUACUUGAGAACUAAAACGGGAUCUUCAUUACUAAGUUGAUAGUUGCUAAGUGGAUACACUAAGGCUAUAUGUAAUUAGGAUGUUAUAGACUUAGAAUCUGUGGAAAUUUUACUUCACCCCUAUUCUGUGUGAAUACGGAGUUAAGGUCACUUAUUCAAAGGUCUAUCCUGUUUAAAUUACAUAUAACUGGUAUGCACUUCACAAAUAGAGAUGUAAUUGAUGAAGAUUUUCUAAAUAAUUAUCUAGAUAGUUCGUCUAAUAAUUAUUUUCUUACCCCUAAAUUCUCGCAUAGAUAACAUGGCUGUACUCCAUCCCCACGGCAACCAGUAUCUUCCGAAUGAAGUCAUAGCUGGUUGGUUUGGAGAAGAACCAGAGAAUGAUCAUCCUAUCCCCUUGAAUAAUCACCAUGAUGACAACCUUUCGGACGAUGCUAGCUCCGAACCAGAGGUUGAGAACCUACCCCGAGCAACUCCCUUUCCAAUUCCUAACCCUCGUCCAACUUUUCAUGGCCCGACCCUGAGUGAGUGGAAUGCUUGGAAAGAUGGAGCCAAUGACAAGAUCAGCCCCUGUCAUUUAAUGGCGACCGAAGCUUUUACAACUUGAGCAAUGGGGGCUCAGCAGAUAGAGUCUUACCAAUCUUGGUCCGUAGAGUGUCUGAAAUGAGAUUCAAGGUAGGACAGCCCUACACUAGAUUUCCGAAGAUGUCACCGAUACGAGAAUACAUACCCUCCGCACCAUUAGUCUAGAAGAUGCUCGCGUGAGAGAAGAGAGAAACCAUGAAACCCUGCUGCAAGCACUAGCUGAAUCAUGAGCCAAAGUCAUAGAACUUCGAGUACGUCAUAGGGUGUACAACAAACACCUACUUGAUGAGGAACGUCGACUGGCUGAACUGAGAGUUCACCAGAGAGAUGACUGUCGGCAAGAGUAGAUGUUUUACCUUACUUCCCUUGUUAGAAAGAAAUCGUUUUCUAUCUUUGCCCGAUGUGGCAUUUUCUAUGAAAUUACCUUGUACUGUAAGUACUUUAGGUUAGGUCCUUAUGCUGUCAAGAACUAUCUUCUUGGGAUAUGAUGUAAGACCUUUACAAGGUCAUUUUUCCUGAAUCUUUACGUCGUGAAUAUCAAAGAUAUUGACAGCCGGCUAACUUCUGUGUCAUUCUUCAUUCAAGUACUCUUAUCAUACUUUCAUUGGAGUCUAUCUGAAUCAUGCUUUAGUCAAGUCAUUAGACUAUAGUAAUUUAGCUCCGGAGACAUUUCCAUGUCUUUUUCAGUGGUUGGAUCUGGUUAUUCACCAAUCCACGGUACCUCGGCUUGAACGACAAACAUCUUGAGACCAUUCUACGAACUUACUUCUACUCAUUACUAGGACUGCAUCAUAGGGAUGUAGGUCAAACCUUCGCAAUCAUACCUCCAAUCCGCACUAGGACUGCAUCAUAGGGAUGUAGGUCAACCUUUCGAGAACAUACUCUUACUCUUUUCUUGAACAAUCUAAGUACAUCUAGAGUCAACCAGAAGCGCUCACAAAAUCCUUAUCUUUCGUGUUACAGAAUCAUGUCGUCAUCAGGAAACAAUCGGUCGGACAACGAAACCUCUACCUUUCCUAUGGACGCCGCUACCUUCCAAACCGCAGUUACAACUGCCGUGAUGGCUGCCGUGACAGCUAUCCUUGCGCACCGUAGCGCUAUCAGCACAAGCAAUGCUGAUGUUGGGAUUGAAGAUUCCAAUCGUAGUAUCAAUCCAGGAAGUUGCCAAACAGUAAUAGUUACAGGCUCGCAAAGCCGAAAGACAGAGAACAAGAAACGAAAGCGUCAAGACCAGAAAGAACGCAAGAAAUCCCAAAGGCUUGCUAUGCAACAACAACAAGUGGAAAGCCCUGCCAUCCCAGUACCGAGCAGGCCAUACGAGGGAAAACUCCCGAAGUGUGAUAAGUGUAGUUCCCAUCAUCAUGGGGCUUGUCAUGAGAUGUAAUGUUGCAAUUGCCUAAAAAUAGGGCACCAUGCUCGUGGCUGUGGAGCACCGACACGACCCAUCACUCAAGUCCCUUUCAUCGGGACUAACCCUACACACGAGAGUAGUUAUAACGCUGAAUGCUUUAGGAAGCAAUUUUCAAAGUGGAGUAACGAGGAAGGCACUCGUUUCCACAUAACACUGGCUAAACACCGCAAUCCCGUCACCAAUGCAAGUACUAGCCAGUCAUGCCACCAAUGCGGUGAGAUAGGGCACGUCAAGAAGGAUUGCAAAGAACUCUGGCGCAGAUGGGAGGAUUCUCAGGAUCACAGCUGUAGGAGAGCCUACUUCGGAACCCUCGUUAAUGUAACUUAGGCGUGUUGCUGUAACAGACUUAUAAACUAUCCAGAAUUGGUGCAACUAGAGUCUUACUUUUCACGAGAUCCUGUCUGUAUAGGCAUGCUCGUGCUGUGUAUACUUGUCUUUUGUAGUAUACCUUAUUCGCAGCAACAAUCUUGUCGUAAGUCUAAAGUACUAUAACUCUGUUCAUGGUUGCACAGUUGUGUUUUGUAUGUAAACGUCUUAUGUUCAAAUCUAAUGUCUUUAAGUUUCAGUAUGAUUCCGACAUUAUCAUCCGACUCGAUUCAAUUUGAUCCUCACGAAAACAGCUUCAUACGUACAUCUCUUUCUUCUAGAUCACUUUACCAGCGAAGCCGUCAUAUCAGAACACCAAAGUACUCAUGCCAGGAGUACCUCUUAGUUAUUUUCUUUUCGAAGAAAGUACAGUACGUCAAGUUCAAUACAAGAUUUAUACGAUUGAUCUAUCACCGAGGAAUGUAUGCAUAAGAGUGAUAUAUAAUCAAGGUUCUACAGGUUUAGAAUUGAUGAUUCCACUUUAACUUCUUUUUCCCCGAUAGGAUGUGAGCUUAAAGAAGAAUCAGUUAUUCGACUACCUUUUCAAUCUUAAUUAUAUACGACUCGUAUACACGAAAUUGUGAUUGUGAAACCAGGUAUGAUUUCUAAUAUGAACUUCAGGACGGAGAACUGCCUAAGACUACGAGUAAUCACAUCGUCAUGUGAACAAACUUAGAACCCAAUACGACUCUUGUAAACAGAUCACCCUAUAGUCUAAACACAUACGAAGACACAAGAACAGUAUAUACAACUUAGCAAACCACACAUAAAUAGAAUUAGAAGACUAGGCUUCUCACCCUAGAGAACCCCAGUCUUAUUCUCCCAGAGAUCGACGGAUUGCAUCGUAUGUGCCUCGAAUAUCGAGGACUCCGUCAAGAUUUUUCAUUAGAAAUCGUUAUCUCUGCCUCGCAUAGAUGAAAUGGUUGAGCAAACGCAAGGAAAGAAUUACUUUCAGAAAUGGAUCUGAGAUCCGAAUAUCACCAGUUCGGGUGUUAGGGAAGGAUGUCCAGAAGAUUAUCUUCCGAACUCGAUGCGGACACUUCGAGUCCGUAGUGAUACCCUUCAGAUAGGACCAAGACGCCCAUAGCUUUCAUGAGCUAAAUGAGUAGGGUACGUCUUUCUUACUUGGAUCAGUUCGUCAUUUCUCCAUGUAAUGACUUACUUAUCUACCCUCGUAGUAAGAAGAAAACCCAUGGAAACAUUUCCUAUAGAGGAACUUUUAGCGAAGUUCUCUAGGCACGAGUUUUGAAAUUGAAGAGUCGAAUUUCUAAGACACACUGUUAGUAAUGUGGGAAGUUUUGAGUACUUUUUCAAUUUGUCAAAACUGUUGAGCAUUUGUCGACACCGGAGACGCCGACAGCCAUUCGCCAAAUUCUAGGUCUUACCGACCUACUGACAUAGUUCAUUCAGAACUCCUCGCAAAUUACAGAAACCCGUACGACUCUGACCCAGCAAGGGGUGGCCUUUGACUGGGAAGUUAAACAAGAAAAGGAACCUUUGGAAUUCCAAGGGAGUGACCAAGUUCUUUAGGAGAACUCACUCUGGGAAUGGCUUAAUACGCUUUGUAUCGCGUGGAAACAAAAAUCCAAUAUAGUUAGGACCUCCGAGAUUCUUAUCUGAAUCGGUCCUAUGCCUCGCACAAACUAGACCUACUUCGCGAACUCAGUAACGUACAUCCUACUCUUCGUGUCUCGAUCGUGAAACCAUACCUUUCAGUUAGGACUCUUGUAAGUCCACUCGUCGAGAUCCUCGCCUUCAUAUUAGAACCGUACUGACCCUCGACCGAGAGGUCAAGCCGACGAAGCAACGCCAUCGCCCGAUAGUGAAGGUUCGUUGGGAUUCCAACCGAGAACCCGAUUUCACUUAAGUGCGCUAGAACCAAUCGAUUAGGAAGUUUCCUCCUCACGACUCGAUCAUUCGUACAUACUUCCUUGCUUAAAUUAUAAUUUCGGGACAAAAUUCCCUUCAACAGGGGGUUGAUGUGACAACCUGAAAUUUCGAUUCUGUACAAACCAUAUCUAGCCAAUAGAAGUAGAUCAGUUUCAGCGAAAACCCAGACUUCGAGUAUGAGUUUGGUAGUUUUCAGGAUUUUACACUUAAGGAGAUAUUAGGACAGUGGAUGCACUAGGGUUUUGUGCAACACUGUUAUUCCAAUACUCUAGGAUAUUAGAGUUCAUUCCGAGAAUAGAAAUAUUUUCUGCCAAAAAUCCAGGACUAUAUAUAGAAAACUGAACCAAAUAGUUCAUUAGUUGAAUUCCAAUUAGAGAAAAGCCAAAAUUCUCUCUUUACGGAUCUUCGGGUUUUUAUCCCAAAUUGUGAGUAACUCUUUCUAGUAGUGUUAGAAAGCUUUAAAUGUGUUCAUAACAUAGAUUACAUAGCUAAAUCAUCCGAUUUAGGAGUUUACUCCCCAAGGUGUUCUUGGGCGGUAAACUCCCGAUACCAAGCCUAGACUGUCUCCCGUGAUAUACUACUGCCUUGGACUUGUAUACGAGUGUAUUAGGGACAUGAUAUCAACCAAGAAUCACCCAAGUUUGGGAGUUCACAGCCCAAGAAUAUCUUAGGUCGUAAACUCCAAAAAGCUUACUCAAAGUGGUGCUUUUAAGGCACCUAAGGCUUAGACUUGAUUUUAGACAUGUACCCUAAAGUGUUUAAAGCCUAGAAAACAUAAGGAAUCACAAGGAUAAAGGAGUUUACGGCCAAGACGAGUUCUUGGGCCGUAAACCCCUAUAAAUGGGACAAAUGACACCCUAACUCCUUCCUUAUGCAUAGAACCCAACAUAGAUCAUAACCUUGAGAUGUUAGAAACUUGAAAACACCAUAAACACCCUCCCAAGGGAGUUUACGGCCGUAAACUCCAAGGGAAUAUGGUCUCUGGGCCGUAAACUCCUUAAAGGAGUUAAUAGGACACCCAAACACUUGUUUAAACCUUGGAACAAUUUACCACUUGAAUUGUAACAACUUUAAGCCUCAAUUAAUGACCCAAAGUAGAGUUUACGGCCAGGAGUUAACUCCCCUGGGCCGUAUACUCCAAAGAAUAUGGUCAUUAGACCUUAAACUCCCAAUUGAGGUAUUACACUCCUUUGUUGCAACCCAUUAGCCUCCUAGCACUUGACCAAAAGUGUUUUCCUCGCGUUAAAAUGUUUAUACUUGUAUAAUUGGUGUUUUAAAUGACUAAUUAUUUAUAUACAUAUGUUUUCAUAUGUAAUUAGGGUCAUUGUGUGUGUCUAAAGUCUUCACUUGACACCAAGCACUUGUCCGAUCCUUCCUUACGAUAACAGUCCGUUCAAUUCCAGUCACUUACUGCAGGUGAGUUCAUACCCCUUAACUAAUGUUUUAAACUAUUUUUAAAUGUUUUUUGGGGGGGGGAUACAAGUAGAAUCAUGCUAGUUAUUAUAUCAAUCACAUGUGAUUAAUAAGUAGAAUUAUGCUAGUUAUUAUAUCAAUCACAUGUGAUUAAUAUGCAGCAUUCAAAUGAUUUACUACACAUUAGCCGUUUUACCAAACAGUUUCCUUCAAAUGAUUUUUAUAAACAUUUUAUAUGUUUUAAACUCCUUAUUACACUAUACAUUUUACUCUGUAUAUCACAUUUCAAACUUAUUUACAAUUGUGUUCCAAACAAAUGUUUCCUUAUACUUAAACUGUUUUAUCAAACCUAUGCCUUCAAACUGAUUUAUUGGUUGACAUCAAGUCGAUUUUUUCUGAAAAUAAUAAUUAUGUUCAAAUGUUUUACAAAACUUAUUUAUGCUUUUAUAUUAUAAAUUGCAUGCCUCUAUAUGUAUAGUUAUAUAAGAAAUGUUUAAAAGACUUAGGAAGGCUAUCCACCCUAUUUCCUUUUCGCGCUUGAGAUGUGGUCUGGUGGGAUAUCGGGUACUCGUCCGAAGGUCGUUUAAAUAUUAGUUAUAUAUCAUGUGUACAUAUAUAGUCAUAAAAGGUCCUUCCAGUUCAUCCCAUGCCCUUGGGUAGCAAGGGUAUACAUCCAUGUCCAUACGUACCAGUUAGAUUACUAGUAAACUACCAUAUGGGUAGUUUAGGAAGAUACUAGAACUAUUACUAGAACGCGAUAUCAUACAAUGAGUCAGUUCAUUCAUGAGUCAAUACUUUCUAGAACAUUCCAGUACAUUACUAUACUUGCUAGAUAGAGAGAGAACACACAUUACAGCUAGCACACGUAGAACAUUUCCGUACAUUACACUUACAUUAAUACGUUAAUAAAAUUGUGAUCCUCUGUAUCGGAGCAUGCCUUAAAUGUCAUGGCCCGAGUUGUAGCCAGAGUCUCUUGAAGGGAGAGCGUGAGUUUGCGUAUAGAUCUAUACUGGAUUGACUAUCCUACACCUUGCUGCUAGCUACAGCGGGACCUGUAGGUCUGCGGGUGCCAAACGUCAUUCCGUUAUUACGACCAUUCUUAUCUCGUUGUUACCAGUCAAUAGUAUGGUACAAUUAAUCACAUGAUGCCUUAAUAUAAAUCCGGUUUAAGGUAAUUAGUACAACAGUAGUUCUUAUAGCGCUACGUUUUAGUACUACAUUAAUUUUCCUUGUACACAUAUUUAGUGAUCUUUUC